RNA transcript from Manihot esculenta (cassava), 1846 nucleotides. It is a transcript of the gene named protein SUPPRESSOR OF QUENCHING 1, chloroplastic-like, with no coding region annotated. NCBI's taxonomy places the organism in Eukaryota, Viridiplantae, Streptophyta, Magnoliopsida, Malpighiales, Euphorbiaceae. The transcript has 10 exons. The record is from RefSeq and is a predicted model, not a curated record.
ACAAAGAACCCCUAAAUCCCAACCCUAAAUCUCUCUCAACUCUAAGUCUUCUGCCGCCCUCCCCUCCCCCAUUCGGCCUCUCCGUCACUCGUCUGGUACAGCCUUGCGCCUCCCGCCGAUCGUUCCUUGCUCCACGCUGUCAACGUCGUUCUGCGUCCGGUUCCUGCGUCCGCUGGUCUGCUUGCUUCUUUGCUCUUCUCCGCCGCUUUCUCUGCUCCAGUCUUGCCGUCGGUGCUUCUCCUCGCCGCGUCCUCAGUCACUGCACGAUAAUCUUUUGAAGGAAGAGCUGUCUGCCGCUGCUCAAGCUGUAGGGGAAGUAAAUCUGGAGAAAAAAUUUGCAGCAGCGAGUGAAAGCCUGCGCCGAGGGAGAUUGAUUUUGUGAAUGAGAUGGUGCGGACUCUUGCUGGGAAUGGAACCAAAGGUUCUGACUAUAAAGGUGGAGGAAAAGGAACGACUCAGCUUCUCAACUCUCCAUGGGAUGUCUGCUAUGAGCCAGUCAAUGAAAAAGUCUAUAUUGCAAUGGCUGGACAGCAUCAGAUAUGGGAGCACAAUACUCUAGAUGGAGUUACUAUAGCUUUCAGUGGUGAUGGUUAUGAAAGAAACUUAAAUGGAUCAAGCUCCACUAGCACGUCAUUUGCACAACCUUCUGGAAUUUCACUAUCUCCUGAUUUGAAGGAGAUUUAUGUUGCUGAUAGUGAAAGUAGCUCCAUUCGAGCCCUUGAUCUGAAAACAGGAGGAUCAAGGCUGCUAGCUGGUGGUGAUCCAAUUUUCUGACAACUUGUUUAAGUUUGGUGACCAUGAUGGAAUAGGGUCUGAAGUGCUUCUUCAACAUCCACUAGGUGUAUUAUGUGCAAAGGAGGGUUACUGUACAAUUGUAGGACGUUGCCAUUAUUAUUUCGUUUAUCAUCUUGUAAUGGCAAGUUACAGUUCUCUUCUUCCUUUUUCCAGUUGACAAGGGCAUACUUUGCAUUCUUGGAGGUUCUGUUCAGCAGCCAUUUUAUUUUUUUAUUGAAUUUGGACACAAACACCUUCAUGCAUAUAGUUGGUUCUCUAGAAUCUGGUCUUAAAGGCCUGGAUACAAAUAUCUCAUCACAGUGUGCAUCUGCUGUUGAUAAUUUGGCUGCUUUCUAUUUCAAUAAUAUCACCAUGAGGGAGGCACCAACUUCACCUGCUGCAAUUAAUCUUGCUCGACAUAUUGUGGACUGCCCCAGUUUAUUUCCAGAAGUAAGCUGUUACAUUCUUUAUUAUAAAGGUCAUGUUCACUUAUGCCUUUUGAAAAGGAAAGAGAGGGGGGCGGUGGAUGUUCGUUCUAGGGAAGGACAAUAUUAGAAUCAAUUUGCUUUCUUUUCUCAUGUUACCAACUUCAUCAUUUAGUUGAUACAUGCUAUCCUUUGGAAUCCGUGUGAAAUAGCUCGAAUGUUGCAUAUUGCUACCUGUUUAGGGAUUGCAUUUUACCUCCAGAUACUGUGUUCGAAGAAGCCCAAGUACCUUACAUUAAUUUGACCAGUAAGCUUGGACCAUGUUUGUUGUUGGAGAGGAGCUUCUUUUGAUGCAGUAUCUAUAUUUGUUGCCAAAUCAUUAAGAAGAAGAAGGUUCCUUUUUGAAAGGAUACUGGAAGUGUAAUACACAAUGAUGAGGGGAUUACCAAAGACUUGCAGAAGCUAGUGGUGGGUUUGAUAGUAGUCUAUGUUUAGGGUAUUUAUUCUUUCUGAAACAAAGAUGUAAAUCAUUCAUGGGAUUAUGUUUUAAAGGUGGUGACAAGUAGAUUUAUUUGUACAUUAACCUCAAAUAAUUCUUUUGUAUUUGUUGAUAAUAGAAAGAAAAGGAAUGAUAUUUUAGUGUGCAA